Molecule: ribosomal RNA, 483 nt
Filed under: uncultured bacterium
Lineage: Bacteria
Description: partial 16S ribosomal RNA
Rfam family: Bacterial small subunit ribosomal RNA
Source: RNAcentral
AUUGAACGCUAGCGGGAUGCUUUACACAUGCAAGUCGAACGGCAGCGCGGACUUCGGUCUGGCGGCGAGUGGCGAACGGGUGAGUAAUGUAUCGGAACGUGCCCAGUAGCGGGGGAUAACUACGCGAAAGCGUAGCUAAUACCGCAUACGCCCUACGGGGGAAAGCAGGGGAUCGUAAGACCUUGCACUAUUGGAGCGGCCGAUAUCGGAUUAGCUAGUUGGUGAGGUAACGGCUCACCAAGGCGACGAUCCGUAGCUGGUUUGAGAGGACGACCAGCCACACUGGGACUGAGACACGGCCCAGACUCCUACGGGAGGCAGCAGUGGGGAAUUUUGGACAAUGGGGGCAACCCUGAUCCAGCCAUCCCGCGUGUGCGAUGAAGGCCUUCGGGUUGUAAAGCACUUUUGGCAGGAAAGAAACGUCGCGGGCUAAGACCCCGUGGAACUGACGGUACCUGCAGAAUAAGCACCGGCUAACUACGU